GCCAGGCGUGGUGGCUCAUGCCUGUAAUCCCAGCACUUUGGGAGGCUGAGGUGGGUGGCUCACCUGAGGUCAGGAGUUCAAGACCAGCCUGGCCAACAUGGUGAAACCCCGUCUCUA
This is an unclassified non-coding RNA of Macaca fascicularis (crab-eating macaque), 117 nucleotides long. It matches the Rfam family "Metazoan signal recognition particle RNA". From Rfam's summary of the family: The signal recognition particle (SRP) is a universally conserved ribonucleoprotein. It is involved in the co-translational targeting of proteins to membranes. The record is from Ensembl. Lineage: Eukaryota; Metazoa; Chordata; Mammalia; Primates; Cercopithecidae.